RNAcentral lists this ribosomal RNA (403 nucleotides) under uncultured bacterium. RNAcentral's name for it is "partial 16S ribosomal RNA". It matches the Rfam family "Bacterial small subunit ribosomal RNA", at positions 30 to 526 of the family's 1533-position model. The record is from RNAcentral.
AUUGAACGCUGGCGGCAGGCCUAACACAUACAAGUCGAGCGAGCGGCGGACGGGUGAGUAAUGUAUGGGGACUGCCCGAUAGAGGGGGAUAACUACUGGAAACGGUAGCUAAUACCACAUACUAUCGGAUAACCCAUAUGGGAUUAGCUAGUAGGUGAGGUAAUGUCUCACCUAGGCGACGAUCCCUAGCUGGUCUGUGAGGAUGAUCAGCCAAACUGGUAAUGAGAGACGGCCCAGACUCCUACGGAGGCAGCAGUGGGGAAUAUUGCACAAUGGGCGCAAGCCGGAUGCAGCCAUGCCGCGUGUAUGAAGAAGGCCCUAGGGUUGUAAAGUACGUUCAGUCGGGAGGCGUUACCGACAGAAGAAGCACCGGCUAACUCCGUGCCAGCAGCCGCGGUAAUUC